RNAcentral lists this transfer RNA (78 nucleotides) under Nitrososphaerota archaeon. Its description in RNAcentral is "tRNA-Glu". It matches the Rfam family "tRNA". From Rfam's summary of the family: Transfer RNA (tRNA) molecules are approximately 80 nucleotides in length. Lineage: Archaea; Thermoproteati; Nitrososphaerota. The record is from RNAcentral.
GUCCGUGUCGUCCAGUCCGGCCAAGGAUAUUCGGCCUUCAACCGAAAGACGCGUGUUCAAAUCACGCCACGGACGCCA